Molecule: ribosomal RNA, 253 nt
Filed under: uncultured bacterium
Lineage: Bacteria
Description: partial 16S ribosomal RNA
Rfam family: Bacterial small subunit ribosomal RNA
Source: RNAcentral
UACAGAGGGGGCAAGCGUUAUUCGGAAUUAUUGGGCGUAAAGGGCGCGUAGGCGGCGAUUCAAGUGACGGGUGAAAUCCCUCGGCUUAACCGAGGAACUGCCUGUCAGACUGGAUUGCUUGAGGCCGGGAGAGGCGAGUGGAAUUCCCAGUGUAGCGGUGAAAUGCGCAGAUAUCAGGAGGAACACCGGUGGCGAAGGCGGGUCUCUGGGCCGAUACUGACGCUGAGGAGCGAAAGCGUGGGGAGCGAACAGG